RNAcentral lists this ribosomal RNA (372 nucleotides) under uncultured bacterium. RNAcentral describes it as "bacterial SSU rRNA". It matches the Rfam family "Bacterial small subunit ribosomal RNA", at positions 521 to 896 of the family's 1533-position model. The record is from RNAcentral.
UAAUACGAAAGGAGCGAGUGUUAUUCAGAUUAACUGGGCGUAAAGGGCACGUAGGUGGUUUGUUAUGUGUAUUGUUAAAUUUUAAAGCUUAACUUUAUUCUGCAGUAUACACAGCUAAGCUAGAGUUAGGUAGGGGGUAGUAGAAUUUCUAGUGUAAAGGUGAAAUUUGAUAAAAUUAGAGAGAAUACCAGUGGCGUAGGCGACUACCUGGGCCUUAACUGACACUGAGGUGCGAAGGUAUGGGUAGCAAAUAGGAUUAGAUACCCUAGUAGUCCAUACAGUAAACGAUGAAUAUUAAAUGUUGGAAUUUCAUUUUCAGUAUUAUAGCUAACGCGUUAAAUAUUCCGCCUGGGGAGUACAAUCGCAAGAUUG